CAUGUAGGCGGUUGUUUAAGUCUGAUGUGAAAGCCCUGGGCUCAACCCAGGAAGUGCAUUGGAUACUGGAUAACUUGAGUACGGGAGAGGAAAGUGGAAUUUCGAGUGUAGGGGUGAAAUCCGUAGAUAUUCGAAGGAACACCAGUGGCGAAGGCGGCUUUCUGGGCCGAUACUGACGCUGAGAUGCGAAGGCGUGGGGAGCAAACA
Molecule: ribosomal RNA, 207 nt
Filed under: uncultured bacterium
Lineage: Bacteria
Description: partial 16S ribosomal RNA
Rfam family: Bacterial small subunit ribosomal RNA
Source: RNAcentral